UAUAGUAAGUGUAACUAGUCCUUUUCUUUAUUUGCUUGCAGUUUACUUCAGUUUCUUUCUGCUACUAUUUUAUUACAUUUUUCAUUUCAAAUCUACUAAUUUAUUUUAUUUUCUCCCUUAAUGUUGCAGUAUUGUUUUAUAGUUCUGAACUACUAAGAGAAUCUCACACAUAAUACAAUUUUUGACUGUCUACUAAAGACAAGUUCAUGUAAAAGGUGUCUGUACAUCAGAAGGGUGAGCAAAAGGAGUAGCAGAGUUUCUGACAUGUGGAUCAUAUAUUGGAUGAUCUUCCUCUGUCCUCCCCCAAAUAUUGGCAGCUGCUCUUCCCUUUUGAUUCUCUCCAGAUGUGUUCUGCGCUGUGGUGUGUUACAGGAGAUCUGUGGAGGGGUUAGGGUAGUUGAGUUUGGGUCCUUGCGUGGGAUGCAAAUUGAAGGGCAGUUGUUUCCUGUUUUCUCUCUUUUUAUUAGGCGCAGGUGUUUUGUGGUUCAGGAGGGCCUUGUUAGUUGCGCAGUUGAGCAGGAAUCGGUUCUAUUUUGGUUCAGUGAGAACCGAGUAAGAAUAUUUAGCCCGAUCCGUUUUGUUGAACAUAUAAACAUACGAUUGUCGGCCCUGUUUGGACAUACAUGUGUCAUAUGUUUAUUUGUCAGGAAAUUUGACUGAAACCCAAUUGAAGAUCAGUCAAAUGUUAAAUAGGC
Triticum dicoccoides is the source of this 695-nucleotide long non-coding RNA. RefSeq lists it as uncharacterized. The transcript is spliced from 3 exons. The record is from RefSeq and is a predicted model, not a curated record. Lineage: Eukaryota; Viridiplantae; Streptophyta; Magnoliopsida; Poales; Poaceae.